This 492-nucleotide ribosomal RNA is filed under the name uncultured bacterium. RNAcentral describes it as "partial 16S ribosomal RNA". It matches the Rfam family "Bacterial small subunit ribosomal RNA", at positions 29 to 507 of the family's 1533-position model. The record is from RNAcentral.
AGUGAACGCUGGCGGUAGGCCUAACACAUGCAAGUCGAACGGCAGCACAGUAAGAGCUUGCUCUUACGGGUGGCGAGUGGCGGACGGGUGAGGAAUACAUCGGAAUCUACUUUUUCGUGGGGGAUAACGUAGGGAAACUUACUCUAAUACCGCAUACGACCUACGUGUGAAAGCAGGGGAUCUUCGGACCUUGCGCGAUUGAAUGAGCCGAUGUCGGAUUAGCUAGUUGGCGGGGUAAAGGCCCACCAAGGCGACGAUCCGUAGCUGGUCUGAGAGGAUGAUCAGCCACACUGGAACUGAGACACGGUCGAGACUCUGACGGGAGGAAGCAGUGGGGAAUAUUGGAAAAGGGGCGCAAGCCUGAUCCAGCCAUACCGCGUGGGUGAAGAAGGCGUUAGGGUUGUAAAGCCAUUUUGUUGGGAAAGAAAAGCAGCAGGUUAAUACCCCGCUGUUCUGACGGUACCCAAAGAAUAAGCACCGGCUAACUUCGUG